UGGCGCACGGGUGAGUAACGCGUAGGCAACCUGCCUUUUGCUGGGGAAUAACAUUGCGAAAGUGGUGCUAAUACCGCAUGAUGCAGCGGAUCCGCAUGGAUAUGUUGUUAAAGACUUCGGUCGGCAAAAGAUGGGCCUGCGUGCCAUUAGCUAGUUGGUGAGGUAACGGCUCACCAAGGCGAUGAUGGCUAGGGGGUCUGAGAGGAUGGUCCCCCACACGGGAACUGAGACACGGUCCCGACUCCUACGGGAGGCAGCAGUGAGGAAUCUUGCGCAAUGGGCGAAAGCCUGACGCAGCCACGCCGCGUGCCGGAAGAAGGUCCUAUGGAUUGUAAACGGCUUUUGUCAGGGAAGAAUCCCCGGGUUUUGAUCUGGGUUGACGGUACCUGAUGAAUAAGCACCGGCUAACUCCGUGCCAGCAGCCGCGGUAAU
Molecule: ribosomal RNA, 432 nt
Filed under: uncultured bacterium
Lineage: Bacteria
Description: bacterial SSU rRNA
Rfam family: Bacterial small subunit ribosomal RNA
Source: RNAcentral